CAGAAAAAAAAAAGAAUGACCAAUAUUCCUGGGAACUGAUACUUAUACGCCUACUUGUCUACGGUGGGAGUAAGUGUAAGAGCCCAUAUUAUUUUUGGGCCUGGGCCGGCCUCUGGGCCACGGAACCGGCCCGGCUCGUGUGGCAGGGGAGGGAGACCCUGAUCGGAGUCUUCUUCCUCCCCUGUUCCGACUCUCUCCCUCCGAGUCCACCGGAAGGAGGAGUCUAGGGCGAUCAAACCCUACCUAGUUUGCGCCGGUAUACAUUUAUAAAAGAUCCUAUUCCACUCUCCUUUGGCUUCAUCUUUGGAAAUCCUUCCAUUAGAGACUUGGAUCGCUAAGCUUGCCGCGGGAAGAACUCGAAGUGUUCGCCAUCGGUCCGGCCGGAGGAGCUCGCCGGAGGCAAGAUGAGCUCCAUCUCCUUAUUCUCUCCGGUCUUUGGGCCACCGAUCCCCUUGAAUCCGGCCGGCAAGCCGCCGGAUUGAUGUGAAGCCGCACUCCCCUGUUCGGUUUAUUGUUCUUCAGUUUCGGCCGGGCAUCGCCGGGCUUGGCACGCCGCCGGCAUCGAAGGGGCCGAC
RNAcentral lists this long non-coding RNA (575 nucleotides) under Phoenix dactylifera (date palm). RNAcentral's name for it is "long non-coding RNA (PDAC_LNC002020)". Lineage: Eukaryota; Viridiplantae; Streptophyta; Magnoliopsida; Arecales; Arecaceae. The record is from RNAcentral.